Molecule: ribosomal RNA, 497 nt
Filed under: uncultured bacterium
Lineage: Bacteria
Description: partial 16S ribosomal RNA
Rfam family: Bacterial small subunit ribosomal RNA
Source: RNAcentral
GAUGAACGCUGGCGGCGUGCCUAAUACAUGCAAGUCGAGCGAACAGACGAGGAGCUUGCUCCUCUGACGUUAGCGGCGGACGGGUGAGUAACACGUGGAUAACCUACCUAUAAGACUGGGAUAACUUCGGGAAACCGGAGCUAAUACCGGAUAAUAUAUUGAACCGCAUGGUUCAAUAGUGAAAGACGGUUUUGCUGUCACUUAUAGAUGGAUCCGCGCCGCAUUAGCUAGUUGGUAAGGUAGCGGCUUACCAAGGCGACGAUGCGUAGCCGACCUGAGAGGGUGAUCGGCCACACUGGAACUGAGACACGGUCCAGACUCCUACGGGAGGCAGCAGUAGGGAAUCUUCCGCAAUGGGCGAAAGCCUGACGGAGCAACGCCGCGUGAGUGAUGAAGGCCUUCGGAUCGUAAAACUCUGUUAUUAGGGAAGAACAUAUGUGUAAGUAACUGUGCACAUCUUGACGGUACCUAAUCAGAAAGCCACGGCUAACUACGUG